Molecule: ribosomal RNA, 443 nt
Filed under: uncultured bacterium
Lineage: Bacteria
Description: partial 16S ribosomal RNA
Rfam family: Bacterial small subunit ribosomal RNA
Source: RNAcentral
GAUGAACGCUGGCGGCAUGCCUAACACAUGCAAGUCGAUCGGUAAGGCUCUUCGGAGUACACGAGAGGCGGACGGCUGAGUAACGCGUAGGAACACACCCUGCAGUGAGGGAUAAGACACCGAAAGGUGUUCUAAUACCGCAUACGGUCUUCGGAUUAAAGCAUUUAUGCGCUGAAGGAGUGGCCUGCGUCAUAUUAGAUAGUUGGUGAGGUAAUGGCUCACCAAGUCGAUGAUGUGUAGCUGGUCUGAGAGGAUAAUCAGCCAGACUGGAACUGAGACACGGUCCAGACUCCUACGGGAGGCAGCAGUGAGGAAUAUUUCACAAUGAGCGAAAGCUUGAUGGAGCAAUGCCGCGUGCAGGAUGAAGGCCCUCGGGUUGUAAACUGCUUUUAUAAGAGAAGAUUAUGACGGUAACUUAUGAAUAAGGGACGGCUAACUACGUG